AUCCUGGCUCAGAUUGAACGCUGGCGGUAUGCAUAACACAUGCAAGGUCGAACGGUAGCAGGUCUAGCUUGCUAGAUGCUGACGAGUGGCGGACGGGUGAGUAACGCGUAGGAAUCUGCCUUAUAGUGGGGGAUAACCUGGGGGAAACUCAAGGCUAAUACCGCAUAAGCCCGAGGGUGAAAGUGUGGGACCUGAAAAGGCCACAUGCUAUAAGAUGAGCCUGCGUAGGAUUAGCUAGUUGGUGGGGUAAAGGCUUACCAAGGCAAAGAUCCUUAACUGGUCUGAGAGGACGACCAGUCACACUGGGACUGAGACACGGCCCAGACUCCUACGGGAGGCAGCAGUGGGGGAUAUUGGACAAUGGGCGCAAGCCUGAUCCAGCAAUACCGCGUGUGUGAAGAAGGCCUUCGGGUUGUAAAGCACUUUCAGGAGGGAAGAAGUUUUAUGCAGUAAUACUGUGUAGGAUUGACGUUACCUUCAGAAGAAGCACCGGCUAACUCUGUG
RNAcentral lists this ribosomal RNA (504 nucleotides) under uncultured bacterium. RNAcentral describes it as "bacterial SSU rRNA". It matches the Rfam family "Bacterial small subunit ribosomal RNA", at positions 16 to 507 of the family's 1533-position model. The record is from RNAcentral.